This 235-nucleotide ribosomal RNA is filed under the name uncultured bacterium. Its description in RNAcentral is "partial 16S ribosomal RNA". It matches the Rfam family "Bacterial small subunit ribosomal RNA", at positions 96 to 334 of the family's 1533-position model. The record is from RNAcentral.
UGGCGGACGGGAGAGUAAUGUCUGGGAAACUGCCUGAUGGAGGGGGAUAACUACUGGAAACGGUAGCUAAUACCGCAUAACGUCGCAAGACCAAAGAGGGGGACCUUAGGGCCUCUUGCCAUCGGAUGUGCCCAGAUGGGAUUAGCUAGUAGGUGGGGUAACGGCUCACCUAGGCGACGAUCCCUAGCUGGUCUGAGAGGAUGACCAGCCACACUGGAACUGAGACACGGUCCAG